This is a long non-coding RNA of Homo sapiens (human), 418 nucleotides long. The record is from Ensembl. NCBI's taxonomy places the organism in Eukaryota, Metazoa, Chordata, Mammalia, Primates, Hominidae.
UACCCAAUCUCCCAUUCCUCAUUUCUCAUCUACCAUUAGAGAAAGGCCAGCGAAAGAGAACUUCCGGGUAGUGGGUCUGUUCCUCAGUAAUUCCUCAAGCUCUUCUCAGUAUAUGCAACUGGUUCCCCAGCAGUAGUUACCUGGGCUCUUAAAUUUUCUGGUCUCCUUCAUCCAUCUUUAGGCAUGAGAGUUAUGCACUGUCUGGGACCAGCAUUUGACCCUGCAAUGCUGAGGCUAUGUAAUUCAUUGGGACAAUGUGCCGGUUUGGCAGCGUUCGUUAUCUGGGUUGUGGAAUCACAGCAUGGCCAUUAUGAGUUAUGGAGCGAGGAGGGUGUCAUCUUAUGCUGACAUUACAUGUUGUGGUGUUGCAAGGCAGAAAAGAUGCUGGACUAUUGGUUGGAACAAUAAAAAAAAAAAA